UCAAGGGAAAAUUUUAUAGGACGGCAAUAAGGCCAGCGAUGUUGUAUGGCACAGAAUGUUGGGCGGUGAAGCAUCAACACGUACACAAAAUGGGUGUAGCGGAGAUGAGGAUGCUUCGUGGGAUGUGUGGGCACACAAGAAAGGAUAAGAUUGGGAAUGAGGAUAUCCGAGGUAAAGUAGGAGUAGCCGAAAUUGUAGGAAAGAUGAGAGAAAAUCGGCUUCGGUGAUUUGGACAUGUGCAAAGAAGGCCGACUGACGCUCCGGUUCGAAGAUGUGACUACGGGACAGAGGUUCAGGGCCGAAGGGGUAGAGGAAGACCUAGGAAAACUUUGGAAGAGACUCUAAGAAAAGACUUAGAGUACUUGGAUCUAACGGAGGACAUGACACAAAACCGAGCGCAAUGGCGUUCUAGGAUUCAUAGCCGACCCCACUUAGUGGGAAAAGGCUUUGUUGUUGUUGUUGUUGUUGUUGUUGUUGUUGUUGUUGUGUGUUGAGUGUGAAUACCAUUUUGUACGCAAGAUUGUUGCAUGUUGAAGCCUAGAUUCUAUUAUGGACAGGGAAUUGUCUAAAUAUAUUGUAAAAUAUUUGACUGAAUUUAAGUUAAAUGAAAUGUAAGAACCGACUAAUAUUGGAUAUCAGUGACAGUGUGCAGGUAAGUGUUUGUUGAGGUAUGUGAAAACUUUUUGGAAUAGUCUUGAGGUUGAGGGUAAUGGAAGCUGUUCUUUGAUAGGCAUCAUAAGGGACACCUUCCCGGACUUGAACCUGGACCAAAUGCUAGUUAGGAAUUAGAUUAGGAAAGUGCAUAACUAAUCCGGUGUACUAGGAUCCGCACUGAGCUCAGUUUUUGGAUAAGGAAAGCAGUUUUGUUGCUCUUUUGUUGUACUACUAGUAAGAAUGGUUUGACAUGGUCCUUUCUUUGUGCAUGCAUAUCUUUGGUUUCCGCAAUGAUUUGUUAAUGAAAUGAUUAAGUUCAACUGAUGUGGUAGCUACUGAUGGCAUUUUGGGCGCUCAUUUCUUGUUGGAUAUUAUUUGUUUCUUGUAAUUCUAUAUUUUUCAUUAUCAGAUGCAAACUAGCGCUUUAGUCUGUUAAAGGAUUAUUUUUCUGGUUAAUGUUCAGUUAAAGUAUUAAAUCAUAUUUUUCUGUCUUUAUCUGCAGUCUCUUGAUAAACAAGGAGUAAGUUUCUGUACCCGGACCACACAUGAUGACAGUGCCAUCACAAAUGCUGUUGAAAUAUACGAUAGAUUGGGGUAUUUUAGCUAGUUCUGAAAAUCUGUUCAUCUGAAUUUUUUCUUUUAAUAAAACACAAUUUGAUAUAGAAACGCUUUUUCAGGGGUGGAAUGCAUUUCAUGGCAUCCAAUAAUGACUGCGGCAUAAGAGAAUAUGACAUGGAGAAGUUUCAGCUUUUGAAUCACUUUCGUCUCCCUUGGCCAGUGAAUGUGAGUCAUCCUAAGAACUUAAUUCAUAUUGAUGGUUUCUGUCAGAUAAACUUACCUGCCUUUUUCUACUUCUAUACUAAGAAUCUACAUAUUUGUCUUUACACUUUCACUUUCUGUGAUUUUCAUUGACUCCAACCUCCCUGGAUAUUAAUAUUAGAAGGCUAAGUUGUGCAUUGAAGAGUAUUAUUUCUGAUAUAUUUGGAAAUUGUUGAGAUGUCAACUAGGAAGUCAAGCUUUCAAAUCAGUUUUAUUUUGUUCAAUUGGUCAUGCUGAGGACAAGGACAAUUUUUAAAAUAAAAGGAAAUUGGUGACUGGUGUAGGUCACAGACUAAUUUCAUAUUUUGGUUUAGCUUGAUGGACAUAUCGUUUUCUUUUAUAGAUAAAUUGAAGCAAUAUUCCUUUUCAGCUAAUGACAUAGGAACAAUUUUCCUCUCCAACUUGCCAAAAUUCCUUUUCAUAUUUUGGUCGAUACCACUUGCCAAAAUUUUUCUUCGUUGACCCUCUCCUUAAAGCACAAAAUGUUGAUUGAGCCAAUCCUAGUAUUGAAAAUAUUUUGCAGACUUGAAACAAAUUACCUCUUUGAAAUAGAAGAGUGCAAUAUACUUAAGUGCUUGUAAAUUGGAAGUGAUCUGCAAUUGCUUAAACUGGAAUUAAUGUGUUGGUUUCUGUUGUUAUUCCUCCCCUAACUCUUUUACUUAACGUGGAGCUCACCUUGUUUGCAGCAUACAUCAAUAAGCCCAGAUCGUAGGCUUGUUGCCGUUGUUGGUGAUCAUGUAGAUGCAUUGCUCAUGGAUUCGCAGAAUGGGAAGGUACCAAGAUCUUUUUCCUGAUCAUGAUACUUUUGUCUGUAACUUAUUUUGUUGCAUUUCUUUCCAUAGAAAUAUUCUUGCUAAUAAGAUGAGGUAAACUGUGAAAAUUGAACGCGAGACAUGUAGACUUCGAGGAAAUGGUUAAUGGUGGUAAAAUACCAAUACAAGUGUCAUCUUUAAUACGAUAACAGAUUUUUGCUUACAUAGUUGUUUUUAUAAUUGUUCAGCAUAAAGAUAUCUACUUUUUAUUUAUCUUUUAAUAUACCUUAACUUUGUGUUAGCGGAGCAGUUGUGCUUCUAAAUUCCAAAUUUACCCCUAAAAGCAUUUUCCAGGUUUUAUUUUCAAAGAUGGGAACCGUUUACUAACCAUAUACAACUUUGUUUUUUUUUGUUUUUUUUUGUCAUUCCAGACUAUUGCUAAGGUCGUUGGUCAUCUGGAUUACUCUUUUGCGUCAGCAUGGCAUCCUGAUGGUUGCAAUUUGCCACUGGAAACCAGGACAAGACUUCCCGAGUCUGGGACAUAAGAAAUCUUUCAUUGCCAGUUGCCGUUCUGAAGAAUAGCUUGGGUGCUGCUAGGUCAAUUCGCUUUUCAUCAGAUGGUCAGUUCUUGGUGGUCGCGGAACCUGCAGAUUUUGUGCAUAUAUAUAGCACAAAGGCAUACUACAAAGUGCGGCAAGAGAUUGAUUUCUUUGGGGAGAUAUCCGGUGUAUCAAUGAGUCCCGAUGAUGAGUCUCUGUAUAUAGGAAUCUGGGACCGAACAUACGCCAGCUUGCUACAGUAUAACAGAAGGCACUAAGGGUGGAAACCCUCGUGUGGAUAGUUUUGCUUCAUCUCGCUCAUAAGAAACCACCAAGGGUGGAAACCCUGGUGUGGAUAGUGAGCCAGAUGGUAUUGUUGUACCCUUCAUAAUGUCCCCACAUAUGUGUAUUGUGGAGGGUGUAAAGAUUGUGAGUGUGAAAUAUGGAGCUUGUCUUUGCCUUUCUCGAUGCAAAGGAAUUUAACCCAUUACUUCUCUCAGAUCCAGCUUCCUCCCUCGGAUGAUCCAUUCUCUCAAUGAUUCAAUCGAUACCCUACUAUCUUUUGAACUCUUCUGGAUAAGAUAAGGGUGUUUUGGGUAGAAAAACGUGAUUCCGGAUGAAGGCUUUGUCCCGGAAUCCGAAUACUAGUUAUUGUUCGGUAGUCUGAUUCCGAGAAUAUUAGGAAUUGGAUUGCUGAUUUUGAGUGGACCCUGCAUAAAUUUUUAUUCCCCAAUGGAUAGUAGACACUGGAAUCCUUUCAGUCAUGAAUGAUUCUCUUUCAUUUCAUUUCCAACCCCUGUUGGUAAACACGCACAGAUGUUGUAUAGAGACUUUCAAAUGACAGAUGUAUUCCUGUUGGACCACAUAGCUUGGUGAGUAAAAUGAGUACUACCCAGACAGCAACUAAGUAUCAUCCGUGCAGAUGGGCCGAACUUUAUCUCCUUCCUCUCUCACACACACAGUACACACGCACGCACAGAGAAAAGAGAGACGGCGGAGCCGCGCAGAGAGAGAGAGAGAGAGUAGUGUUUCCCUUUCAUCUCUUACUUAUCUCCAGACUCUGCAAAUCAUAACAGCAAGUGGAUUAGCUAGCUGCCUGGAUUGCAAUCCCGACCCUCUGUUUUCCAGGCAAGUGUUUGUUCCUUCUUCUUACUCCCACUUUCUUUUUUUUCCAGUGUUUGGUUAUUAAUUUAUUAAUUUAUUGUUAUUAUUUCAAUUUUUUCAACCUCAAUUUGCUGUAAUUUUUUACCCUCUCUAAUAAAAUUUGUUUCGCCUGAUUUUUGUUUGCUUCAAACAAGAACGCUUACUGCAUUCGGGCCAUUCAUAUUUUUUGCUUAUUGCAGUUCAGCCAUCGACUUCGCCUAUGUAAUUUUACAUUGCCGGUCCCAAGCCCGGAUAAAGGAGGAGGGGGAGGGCGUCAGGUAGUCGACAGCCGGCACUCCAUGAUCACGUCGAAUCCUUAUGAAAAUGAAUCCAGAACAAAAUCGCGCUAAAGCUAGGGCGUCACCCGUAAGUGGUGCGCUGUGUGGCCCGAGCACAGUGAUAAGUGAGCAAGGGUCGCUGUAUCUCCAUCGGCACCCGGAUGCAGUGUUAAAUGAGCAAGGGGGCCGUAGAAACUUCUUUUCGAACGACUUCACUCAAAGUUGUUUGGGAGCAUAUGCUCCUAUCAACUUUACACGGGACACACAAAAGAAGUACUUUGAUCAUAUUAGACGGGGGAGGGUGAAGAAGCUAGGACAGAAGGGUAGAGUUCAAGAGAGCAAAAUGCGUUUAGGAACGUGGAAUAUAGGAACCUUAACGGGAAAAUCUAUGGAAGUAGUGGAAGUUAUGGUGAGGAGAAGGAUAAAUAUUAUGUGCCUACAAGAAACUAAGUGGGUUGGUAGUAAGGCAAAGGAUCUAGAAAACUCAGGGUUUAAAACUUUGGUAUUCGGGCACAAAUAGAACGAGAAACGGUGUUGGGCAUCAUCGUGGACAAGACCUUGACACAAGAUGUUGUAGAUGUCAAGAGGGUAGGAGAUAGAAUCAUGGCAAUCAAGAUUGUAAUAGGACAAGAACUUAUCAAUGUGAUUAGUGCGUACGCACCUCAAGUAGGAUUGGAUACGAGUUCGAAUGAGAAAUUUUGGGAAGACCUUGGAGACUUGGUGCAAGGAAUUGCUCAGACGGAGAAGUUAUUUAUAGGAGGAGAUUUAAAUGGACACAUGGGCAGGGAGACAGGCAACUAUGGAGGUUUUCAUGGUGGCCAUGGUUUUGGGGAGAGAAACGAGGAUAGGGAAGCUAUCUUGGAUUUUGCAAUGGCAUAUGAUCUCUUCUUAGCCAACACCUUCUUUAAGAAGAGAGAAGAACAUGUGAUCACCUACAAGAGUGGGUCGUCAAAAACACAAAUAGAUUUUCUUCUAAUGAGGAAAAGGGAUCGUAUAACUUGUAAGGAUUGCAAAGUUAUACCAGGAGAGAGCGUGGCUAAUCAACAUCGCUUGUUGGUGAUGGAUGUACAUAUCAAAAGAGUGAGACAAAAGAACAAGACUUGGAAGUGCCCAAGGACUAGAUGGUGGAAUCUAAAAGAAGAAAAACAAGUCAUUUUCAAAGAGAAGGUAAUCACCCAAUGUGUGUGGGAUAGAGAGGGGGAAGCUAGCCAAAUGUGGGAUUCCAUGGCUAGUUGUAUCCGAAAAGUAGCAAAAGAGGUAUUAGGAGAGUCCAAGGGCUUUGCCCCACACCAAAAGGAAUCUUGGUGGUGGAAUGAGGAGGUACAAACAAAGGUGAAGACUAAGAAGGAAUGUUGUAAAGCCUUAUACAAGGAGAGGACCGAUGAAAAUGGUGAAAGGUAUAGAAAAGCGAAGCAAGAGGCGAAGAAAGCUGUCAGAGAAGCUAAGUUAGCGGCUUACGACGAUAUGUAUAAACGACUAGAUACCAAAGAAGGAGAGUUGGAUAUCUAUAAACUAGCUAGAGCAAGGGAAAAGAAGACAAGGGACCUAAACCAAGUGAGGUGCAUCAAGGAUGAGGAUGGAAAGGUUCUUGCUACAGAGAACGCGGUUAAAGACAGAUGGAGAGGUUAUUUUCAUAAUCUUUUCAAUGAAGGACAUGAAAGGAGUGCUUCUUUAGGGGAGUUGAGUAACUCAGAAGAGUGUAGAAACAACUCUUUUUAUCGUCGAAUCCGGAAGGAAGAAGUGGUUGUAGCUUUGAAGAAGAUGAAGCAUAGAAAAGCAACAGGCCCAGACGAUAUACCAAUCGAAGUGUGGAAAGUUUUGGGAGAGACAGGUAUAACAUGACUCACUGACCUUUUCAAUAGGAUUUUGAAAACGAAGAAGAUGCCAAAUGAGUGGCGAACGAGCACUUUGGUGCCUAUCUACAAGAAUAAGGGCGACGUACAAAAUUGCAUGAACUAUAGGGGUAUUAAGUUAAUGAGUCAUACAAUGAAGCUCUGGGAGAGAGUCAUUGAGCAUAGAUUGAGGCAAGAGACACGGGUUUCGGACAACCAAUUCGGGUUCAUGCCAGGGCGCUCAACCAUGGAGGCAAUCUAUCUCUUACGAAGAUUGAUGGAAAGAUAUAGAGAUGGGAAAAAUGAUUUACACAUGGUCUUUAUAGAUUUUGGAAAAAAGCGUAUGAUAGGGUCCCAAGAGACAUUCUUUGGAGGAUUUUAGAGAAGAAAGGAGUACGAAUAGCAUAUAUCCAAGCUAUAAAGGAUAUGUAUGAAGGAGCAAAGACUGCCGUAAGAACUCAUGAAGGACAAACCGAAAGCUUUCCCAUAACUGUAGGAUUACAUCAAGGCUCAUCCUUAAGUCCUUACCUUUUUGCGUUGGUAAUGGAUGAGUUAACAGGACAUAUUCAAGAUGAUAUUCCUUGGUGUAUGCUUUUCGCAGACGAUAUAGUGUUGAUAGAUGAAACUCAGGAAGGGGUAAAUGCAAAGCUUAACCUUUGGAGAGAAGUGUUGGAAUCUAAAGGUCUUCGCCUAAGCCGAUCAAAGACAGAAUAUAUAGAGUGCAAGUUCAGUGCAAAUGGAGGCCAAAACGAGUUAGGGGUGAGGAUCGGAGAUCAAGAAAUACCAAAGAGCGACCGUUUUCGUUACCUAGGAUCUAUCUUGCAAAAGAACGGAGAAUUAGAUGGAGAUCUCAACCAUCGAAUACAAGCUGGAUGGAUGAAGUGGAAGAGUGCAUCUGGUGUGUUGUGUGACCGCCGUAUGCCACUGAAGCUCAAGGGAAAAUUUUAUAGGACGGCAAUAAGGCCGGCGAUGCUGUAUGGCACAGAAUGUUGGGCGGUGAAGCAUCAACACGUACACAAAAUGGGUGUAGCGGAGAUGAGGAUGCUUCGUUGGAUGUGUGGGCACACGAGAAAGGAUAAGAUUAGGAAUGAGGAUAUCCGGGGUAAAGUAGGAGUAGUCGAAAUUGAAGGAAAGAUGAGAGAAAAUCGGUUACGGUGGUUUGGACAUGUGCAAAGAAGGCCUACUGACGCUCCGAUUAGAAGAUGCGACUAUGGGACAGAGGUUCAGGGCCGAAGGGGUAGAGGAAGACCUAGGAAAACUUUGGAAGAGACUCUAAGAAAAGACUUAGAGUACUUGGAUC
This 7317-nucleotide long non-coding RNA is filed under the name Malus domestica (apple). Its description in RNAcentral is "long non-coding RNA (MDOM_LNC003526)". Lineage: Eukaryota; Viridiplantae; Streptophyta; Magnoliopsida; Rosales; Rosaceae. The record is from RNAcentral.